CUACACGGCACACACCUUUGGGACAAUCUGCGUGACGCAUCAUGCCUUCUCUGCUUCAACUGGAGGCACAUUUGACAAAUGAUUGGAGGAUGUCCUUUUUGGUGCCGCAUUCCCAUCACACUCUUGCCCUUGAUCAACUACACGAAGCAGACAAUAGCACUGAUCAUUUUCCCCCGGCAAGGAAGCUCAGCAUGGAUCAGCUCAAUAACCUGAUAUUCUCUGUCUACUCAAUGUGGACAAUUUAGCACCAGGUCAGCACCUUUCGCUCUCUUUUUAAAUCUCAAACAAUUUGGUGACCUCCCACCUAACCACUGACAGGUCCAAAGGAGACGAAACACAAUUGUAGCACAAGCAAAAGUGCUUGUGAUGUGACGGUGUGUUUAGGUCUGAAUUUCUCAAGGUGAUACCUGGUGUGCGACAAGGAGGGAUUGGGGGGUGCUAUUAUGCAAACUCGAUAUCCAGCAUGCUUGCAGAUUACAUUUUUCAUGUAUUUCCAGUCUUCGGUUACCGCCAUACAUGCAUGUCCGGGUGUGGAUGUUUGAAUUGCUGUGGUUACAAAUCAUUUCCCAUCAUUCUGUUACGUGGCAAGGUGCCAUUCAGCUUCAAAUUAAACACUCGUUGCAGCCGGGGGAAUUAUGUCCCGGACUACUCCAUUUUCAGGGAUGGAAUUCAAAUCGGAUCACUCUUUAUUGUGGAAUUUCUUCCCCGCUGUUUUGAAUUUACUGUUAUCUUCAUCCAGCUGUGAAAAUUGAAUCGACAACAAUGUGGCCGCCACCCUCACAUAGUCCACAUGUCCAUUGUGUCUGUCUAAUUUUACUGACGAGACAAUUGCAUAAGAUGAUGUCGAGAAGCGACCAUAUAGUUUCCUCUGCUAUGCAAAAUAACUCUCCUUCAUUGCUCACCUCAAGGUCAAACCUGACAGCCGUGCUUCAACUUCCUUGAAUUGAGUCAGAACUGAGCAGUUUGCUCUCGAUGUUGCCUUUGGUGACAAGAGCAGGCCGUUAGCGUUAUUCAUCCUGUUGGAAGACAAUUUCAGAUAUGACGGGAGACGUUUGUGUCUCUGGAAAUGUACAUUAAAUGGUGUCAACAACAUCCUCUGAGGUCACGGCAGAGUCCCCCUGCGGUGAGUGCGAGCUGGUGAGAAUCUACACUGACGUGUGAUGGCUCUGUGGCAGCUUUGACACAGACUGUAAUCUGUGCUGGACUUUGGCUCUGAUUACACGUCUCAGGGAGCAAAACAGGGACUGCCAGCACUGGGCUCAUCCCAGGCUUUUCAGCCUUCAAGAGGACUCAAGUCCGCUUCGAAGGUGAGCUCAAUUUUCGUCCCAUUUAUACCUUUGUAACGAAUGUCAGAUGGAAUGCAUCUGGCAGACGGUCAUCAAAC
Phyllopteryx taeniolatus (common seadragon) is the source of this 1384-nucleotide long non-coding RNA. RefSeq lists it as uncharacterized. The transcript is spliced from 3 exons. The record is from RefSeq and is a predicted model, not a curated record. NCBI's taxonomy places the organism in Eukaryota, Metazoa, Chordata, Actinopteri, Syngnathiformes, Syngnathidae.